GCGCCCGUAGCUCAGUGGAUAGAGCGCUGGCCUCCGGAGCCAGAGGUCACAGGUUCGAAUCCUGUCGGGCGCA
This 73-nucleotide transfer RNA is filed under the name Thermoleophilum album. Its description in RNAcentral is "tRNA-Arg". It matches the Rfam family "tRNA". Rfam says of the family: Transfer RNA (tRNA) molecules are approximately 80 nucleotides in length. Their secondary structure includes four short double-helical elements and three loops (D, anti-codon, and T loops). RNAcentral also lists the same sequence under 3 other names. Lineage: Bacteria; Bacillati; Actinomycetota; Thermoleophilia; Thermoleophilales; Thermoleophilaceae. The record is from RNAcentral.